GUGUCAGCAGCCGCGGUAAUACGUAGGGUGCGAGCGUUGUCCGGAAUUAUUGGGCGUAAAGGGCUCGUAGGCGGUUCGUCACGUCGGGAGUGAAAACUCGGGGCUCAACCCCAAGCUUGCUCUCGAUACGGGCGGACUAGAGGUAGGUAGGGGAGAACGGAAUUCCUGGUGUAGCGGUGGAAUGCGCAGAUAUCAGGAGGAACACCGGUGGCGAAGGCGGUUCUCUGGGCCUUACCUGACGCUGAGGAGCGAAAGCGUGGGGAGCGAACAGGAUUAGAAACCCGUGUAGUCC
RNAcentral lists this ribosomal RNA (292 nucleotides) under uncultured bacterium. Its description in RNAcentral is "partial 16S ribosomal RNA". It matches the Rfam family "Bacterial small subunit ribosomal RNA", at positions 505 to 796 of the family's 1533-position model. The record is from RNAcentral.